Molecule: ribosomal RNA, 253 nt
Filed under: uncultured bacterium
Lineage: Bacteria
Description: partial 16S ribosomal RNA
Rfam family: Bacterial small subunit ribosomal RNA
Source: RNAcentral
UACGUAGGGGGCGAGCGUUGUUCGGAAUUACUGGGCGUAAAGAGUGUGUAGGCGGUGCUCUACGUCUGUUGUGAAAUCUCCCGGCUUAACCGGGAGGGUGCGGCGGAAACUGGAGUGCUUGAGGGUGGGAGAGGUAAGCGGAAUUCCUGGUGUAGCGGUGAAAUGCGUAGAUAUCAGGAGGAACACCUGUGGUGUAGACAGCUUACUGGACCACUUCUGACGCUGAGACACGAAAGCGUGGGUAGCAAACAGG